GAGAAGCUUGCUUCUCUUGAGAGCGGCGGACGGGUGAGUAAUGCCUAAGAAUCUGCCUGGUAGUGGGGGAUAACGUUCGGAAACGGACGCUAAUACCGCAUACGUCCUACGGGAGAAAGCAGGGGACCUUCGGGCCUUGCGCUAUCAGAUGAGCCUAGGUCGGAUUAGCUAGUUGGUGGGGUAAUGGCUCACCAAGGCGACGAUCCGUAACUGGUCUGAGAGGAUGAUCAGUCACACUGGAACUGAGACACGGUCCAGACUCCUACGGGAGGCAACAGUGGGGAAUAUUGGACGAUGGGCGAAAGCCUGAUCCAGCCAUGCCGCGUGUGUGAAGAAGGUCUUCGGAUUGUAUAGCACUUUAAGUUGGGAGGAAGGGCAGUAAAUUAAUACUUUGCUGUUUUGACGUUACCGACAGAAUAAGCACCGGCUAACUCUGUGCCAGCAGCCGCGGUAAUACAGAGGGUGCAGGCGUUAAUCGGAAUUACUGGGCGUAAAGCGCGCGUAGGUGGUUAGUUAAGAUGGAUGAGAAAUCACCGGGCUCAACCUGGGAACUGCAUUCAUAACUGACUGACUAGAGUAUGGUAGAGGGUGGUGGAAUUUCCUGUGUAGCGGUGAAAUGC
Molecule: ribosomal RNA, 620 nt
Filed under: uncultured bacterium
Lineage: Bacteria
Description: bacterial SSU rRNA
Rfam family: Bacterial small subunit ribosomal RNA
Source: RNAcentral